This 986-nucleotide ribosomal RNA is filed under the name human gut metagenome. RNAcentral describes it as "bacterial LSU rRNA". It matches the Rfam family "Bacterial large subunit ribosomal RNA", at positions 1945 to 2925 of the family's 2925-position model. The record is from RNAcentral.
ACGGUCCUAAGGUAGCGAAAUUCCUUGUCGGGUAAGUUCCGACCUGCACGAAUGGCAUAACGAUGGCCCCACUGUCUCCUCCCGAGACUCAGUGAAGUUGAAAUGUUUGUGAUGAUGCAAUCUCCCCGCGGCUAGACGGAAAGACCCCAUGAACCUUUACUGCAGCUUUGCAUUGGACUUUGAACCGAUCUGUGUAGGAUAGGCGGGAGGCAAUGAAACUUUGACGCCAGUCAGAGUGGAGCCGACGUUGAAAUACCGCCCUGAUUUGUUUGAGGUUCUAACCGCAGACAGUGAGCCUGUCUCGGGACCGUGCAUGGUAGGCAGUUUGACUGGGGCGGUCUCCUCCUAAAGGGUAACGGAGGAGUACAAAGGUACGCUAGGUACGGUCGGAAAUCGUGCUGAUAGUGCAAUGGCGCAAGCGUGCUUGACUGCGAGACCGACAAGUCGAGCAGAUGCGAAAGCAGGUCAUAGUGAUCCGGUGGCACUGAAUGGAAGGGCCAUCGCUCAACGGAUAAAAGGUACUCUGGGGAUAACAGGCUGAUACCGCCCAAGAGUUCAUAUCGACGGCGGUGUUUGGCACCUCGAUGUCGGCUCAUCUCAUCCUGGGGCUGUAGCCGGUCCCAAGGGUAUGGCUGUUCGCCAUUUAAAGAGGUACGUGAGCUGGGUUUAAAACGUCGUGAGACAGUUUGGUCCCUAUCUGCCGUGGGCGUUGGAAGAUUGACGGGGGCUGCUCCUAGUACGAGAGGACCGGAGUGGACGCACCUCUGGUGUACCGGUUGUCACGCCAGUGGCAUCGCCGGGUAGCUAUGUGGGGAAAGGAUAACCGCUGAAAGCAUCUAAGCGGGAAACCUGCCUGAAGAUAAGUCUUCCUGGAGGCUUUGACCUCCCUGAAGAGUCGUUCGAGACCAGGACGUUGAUAGGUUGGAUGUGCAAGCGCUGUGAGGCGUUGAGCUGACCAAUACUAAUUGCUCGUGAAGCUUGAUCCU